This 329-nucleotide ribosomal RNA is filed under the name uncultured eukaryote. RNAcentral describes it as "partial 18S ribosomal RNA". It matches the Rfam family "Eukaryotic small subunit ribosomal RNA", at positions 1470 to 1796 of the family's 1831-position model. The record is from RNAcentral.
CCCUUAGAUGUCCUGGGCUGCACGCGCGCUACACUGACGAAUGCAACGAGCUUAUAACCUUGGCCGAAAGGUCUGGGUAAUCUCCAAAUUUCGUCGUGAUGGGGAUAGAUUAUUGCAAUUAUUAAUCUUCAACGAGGAAUGCCUAGUAAGUGCAAGUCAUAAGCUUGCGCUGACUACGUCCCUGCCCUUUGUACACACCGCCCGUCGCUACUACCGAUUGAAUGAUUUAGUGAGGACUUCGGACUGGGACCGAUGCGGCUUUCGGGCUGCGUCGGUAUUCUGGAAAGAUGUCCAAACUGUAUCAUUUAGAGGAAGUAAAAGUCGUANCA